CCUUCGCAACUGMGUAUUCCUCCUAAUAUCUACGCAUUUCACCGCUACACUAGGAAUUCUACUCUCCUCUCCUGCACUCAAGCCCUACAGUUUCAAAAGCUUACUACGGUUGAGCCGUAGCCUUUCACUUCUGACUUGCAGGGCCGCCUACGCACCCUUUACGCCCAGUUAUUCCGGAUAACGCUUGCCCCCUACGUAUUACCGCGGCUGCUGGCACGUAGUUAGCCGGGGCUUCCUCCUAAGGUACCGUCAUUAUCUUCCCUUAGGACAGAGCUUUACGACCCGAAGCCUUCAUCGCUCACGCGGCGUUGCUGCAUCAGGGUUUCCCCAUUGUGCAAUAUUCCCCACUGCUGCCUCCCGUAGAGUCUGGACCGUGUCUCAGUUCCAGUGUGGCCGAUCACCCUCUCAGGUCGGCUACCAUCGUCGCCUUGGUGAGCUUUUACCUCACCAACUAGCUAAUGGGACGCGGGUCAUCCUAUACCGAUAAAUCUUUGACAUUUCUAAGAUGCCUUAAAAUGUAUUAUCUCGUAUUAGCAUAUCUUUCGAUAUGUUAUCCGUGUGUAUAGGGCAGGUUACCCACGCGUUACUCACCGUCGCGCUA
RNAcentral lists this ribosomal RNA (601 nucleotides) under bacterium G500V. RNAcentral describes it as "partial 16S ribosomal RNA". The record is from RNAcentral.